CCCUUAGAUGUUCUGGGCCGCACGCGCGCUACACUGAUGCAUUCAACGAGUCUAGAACCUGCUCUGAUAGGGGUGGGUAAUCUUUUGAAUGUGCAUCGUGAUUGGGAUAGAUGAUUGCAAUUUUUCAUCUUCAACGAGGAAUGCCUAGUAAACGCAAGUCAUCAGCUUGCAUUGAUUACGUCCCUGCCCUUUGUACACACCGCCCGUCGCUCCUACCGAUUGAAUGAUCCGAUGAAUAUCAUGGAUUGAGGAUUAUAGCAGGUUCGCCUGUCUUGAUCUUCGAGAAGUGAAGUAAAUCUUAUCAUUUAGAGGAAGGAGAAGUCGUAACA
Molecule: ribosomal RNA, 329 nt
Filed under: uncultured eukaryote
Lineage: Eukaryota
Description: partial 18S ribosomal RNA
Rfam family: Eukaryotic small subunit ribosomal RNA
Source: RNAcentral